Molecule: ribosomal RNA, 257 nt
Filed under: uncultured bacterium
Lineage: Bacteria
Description: partial 16S ribosomal RNA
Rfam family: Bacterial small subunit ribosomal RNA
Source: RNAcentral
UACAGAGGUCUCAAGCGUUGUUCGGAUUCAUUGGGCGUAAAGGGGUGCGUAGGUGGCGCGCUAAGUCAGGUGUGAAAUUUCGGAGCUUAACUCCGAAACUGCAUUUGGAUACUGGCGUGCUUGAGGACUGGAGAGGAGACUGGAAUUCAUGGUGUAGCAGUGAAAUGACGUAGAGAUCAUGAGGAAGACCAGUGGCGAAGGCGGGUCUCUGGACAGUUCCUGACACUGGAGGCACGAAGGCCAGGGGAGCAAACGGG